UGUCCUUUUGCUUUUCUUAGGAAUGAGCUUUGUGCAAAACAGCAAUUCAGAUAAUGAACUGAAGCUUGACCAGGCCCUGCUCUCUGUCAACAAUUACCUCCCUGAACGAAUUGUUGCUUUCUAUGUCUCUGAAGCCUGCUACAAAUGUCUGCCGCAGCCUCUCCUCACGGUUUCACCGACUUCCAUGGGAGCGCCUUCA
This is a long non-coding RNA of Lacerta agilis (Sand lizard), 199 nucleotides long. RefSeq lists it as uncharacterized. The record is from RefSeq and is a predicted model, not a curated record. The transcript has 3 exons. Lineage: Eukaryota; Metazoa; Chordata; Lepidosauria; Squamata; Lacertidae.